This 459-nucleotide ribosomal RNA is filed under the name uncultured bacterium. RNAcentral describes it as "partial 16S ribosomal RNA". It matches the Rfam family "Bacterial small subunit ribosomal RNA", at positions 338 to 795 of the family's 1533-position model. The record is from RNAcentral.
CCUACGGGGGGCAGCAGUGAGGAAUAUUGGUCAAUGGGCGCGAGCCUGAACCAGCCAAGUCGCGUGAGGGAAGACGGCCCUAUGGAUUGUAAACCUCUUUUGUCGGGGAGCAAAAGACGCCACGCGUGGCGUUCCGAGAGUACCCGAAGAAAAAGCAUCGGCUAACUCCGUGCCAGCAGCCGCGGUAAUACGGAGGAUGCGAGCGUUAUCCGGAUUUAUUGGGUUUAAAGGGUGCGCAGGCGGAAGAUGAAGUCAGCGGUAAAAUUGAGGGGCUCAACCUCUUCGAGCCGUUGAAACUGGGUUUCUAGAGUGAGUGAGAGGUAUGCGGAAUGCGUGGUGUAGCGGUGAAAUGCAUAGAUAUCACGCAGAACUCCGAUUGCGAAGGCAGCAUACCGGCGCUCAACUGACGCUCAGGCACGAAAGUGUGGGUAUCGAACAGGAUUAGAUACCCGAGUAGUC